AACGAACGCUGGCGGCAGGCUUAACACAUGCAAGUCGAACGCACCUUUCGGGGUGAGUGGCAGACGGGUGAGUAACGCGUGGGAAUCUACCCUUCUCUACGGGAUAGCUCCGGGAAACUGGAAUUAAUACCGUAUACGUCCUGAGGGAGAAAGAUUUAUCGGGGAAGGAUGAGCCCGCGUUGGAUUAGCUAGUUGGUGGGGUAAAGGCCUACCAAGGCGACGAUCCAUAGCUGGUCUAAGAGGAUGAUCAGCCACAUUGGGACUGAGACACGGCCCAAACUCCUACGGGAGGCAGCAGUGGGGAAUAUUGGACAAUGGGCGCAAGCCUGAUCCAGCCAUGCCGGGUGAGUGAUGAAGGCCCUAGGGUUGUAAAGCUCUUUCAGUGGGGACGAUAAUGACGGUACCCACAGAAGAAGCCCCGGCUAACUUCGUG
Molecule: ribosomal RNA, 433 nt
Filed under: uncultured bacterium
Lineage: Bacteria
Description: partial 16S ribosomal RNA
Rfam family: Bacterial small subunit ribosomal RNA
Source: RNAcentral